GGAUGUGAGGGCGAUCUGGCUGCGACAUCUGUCACCCCAUUGAUCGCCAGGGUUGAUUCGGCUGAUCUGGCUGGCUAGGCGGGUGUCCCCCUUCCUCCCUCACCGCUCCAUGUGCGUCCCUCCCGAAGCUGCGCGCUGGGUCGAAGAGGACGACCACCCCGAUAGAGGAGGACCGUUCUUCGGUCAAGGGUAUACGAGUAGCUGCGCUCCCCUGCUAGAACCUCCAAACAAGCUCUCAAGGAUAGAGAAAGUUGAUGAAGGGUCAUUGGGUCACUUGUCCAAGGUCAGCAAGCUGGAAAGAGUGAAGCAGGCAUUCAAACCCAGACCACCUGAUUCU
RNAcentral lists this small nuclear RNA (337 nucleotides) under Castor canadensis (American beaver). Its description in RNAcentral is "7SK RNA (ENSCCNG00000023967.1)". The stretch from base 1 to 294 matches the Rfam family "7SK RNA". From Rfam's summary of the family: 7SK was discovered as an abundant small nuclear RNA in the mid-70s but a possible function has only recently been suggested. The record is from Rfam by way of RNAcentral. Lineage: Eukaryota; Metazoa; Chordata; Mammalia; Rodentia; Castoridae.